This 1112-nucleotide ribosomal RNA is filed under the name Escherichia coli. RNAcentral's name for it is "partial 23S ribosomal RNA". It matches the Rfam family "Bacterial large subunit ribosomal RNA", at positions 613 to 1728 of the family's 2925-position model. Lineage: Bacteria; Pseudomonadati; Pseudomonadota; Gammaproteobacteria; Enterobacterales; Enterobacteriaceae. The record is from RNAcentral.
UAAUGGGUCAGCGACUUAUAUUCUGUAGCAAGGUUAACCGAAUAGGGGAGCCGAAGGGAAACCGAGUCUUAACUGGGCGUUAAGUUGCAGGGUAUAGACCCGAAACCCGGUGAUCUAGCCAUGGGCAGGUUGAAGGUUGGGUAACACUAACUGGAGGACCGAACCGACUAAUGUUGAAAAAUUAGCGGAUGACUUGUGGCUGGGGGUGAAAGGCCAAUCAAACCGGGAGAUAGCUGGUUCUCCCCGAAAGCUAUUUAGGUAGCGCCUCGUGAAUUCAUCUCCGGGGGUAGAGCACUGUUUCGGCAAGGGGGUCAUCCCGACUUACCAACCCGAUGCAAACUGCGAAUACCGGAGAAUGUUAUCACGGGAGACACACGGCGGGUGCUAACGUCCGUCGUGAAGAGGGAAACAACCCAGACCGCCAGCUAAGGUCCCAAAGUCAUGGUUAAGUGGGAAACGAUGUGGGAAGGCCCAGACAGCCAGGAUGUUGGCUUAGAAGCAGCCAUCAUUUAAAGAAAGCGUAAUAGCUCACUGGUCGAGUCGGCCUGCGCGGAAGAUGUAACGGGGCUAAACCAUGCACCGAAGCUGCGGCAGCGACACUAUGUGUUGUUGGGUAGGGGAGCGUUCUGUAAGCCUGUGAAGGUGGCCUGUGAGGGUUGCUGGAGGUAUCAGAAGUGCGAAUGCUGACAUAAGUAACGAUAAAGCGGGUGAAAAGCCCGCUCGCCGGAAGACCAAGGGUUCCUGUCCAACGUUAAUCGGGGCAGGGUGAGUCGACCCCUAAGGCGAGGCCGAAAGGCGUAGUCGAUGGGAAACAGGUUAAUAUUCCUGUACUUGGUGUUACUGCGAAGGGGGGACGGAGAAGGCUAUGUUGGCCGGGCGACGGUUGUCCCGGUUUAAGCGUGUAGGCUGGUUUUCCAGGCAAAUCCGGAAAACCAAGGCUGAGGCGUGAUGACGAGGCACUACGGUGCUGAAGCGACAAAUGCCCUGCUUCCAGGAAAAGCCUCUAAGCAUCAGGUAACAUCAAAUCGUACCCCAAACCGACACAGGUGGUCAGGUAGAGAAUACCAAGGCGCUUGAGAGAACUCGGGUGAAGGAACUAGGCAAAAUGGUGC